Molecule: ribosomal RNA, 417 nt
Filed under: uncultured Gammaproteobacteria bacterium
Lineage: Bacteria; Pseudomonadati; Pseudomonadota; Gammaproteobacteria
Description: bacterial SSU rRNA
Rfam family: Bacterial small subunit ribosomal RNA
Source: RNAcentral
AAUGGGGGCAACCCUGAUCCAGCAAUGCCGCGUGUGUGAAGAAGGCCUGCGGGUUGUAAAGCACUUUCAGUCGCGAGGAAGGGUUCAUGUCGAAUAGGCAUGAGCAUUGACGUUAACGACAGAAGAAGCACCGGCUAACUCCGUGCCAGCAGCCGCGGUAAUACGGAGGGUGCGAGCGUUAAUCGGAAUUACUGGGCGUAAAGCGCACGUAGGUGGUUAUAUAAGUCGUCUGUGAAAUCCCUGGGCUUAACCUAGGCAGGUCAGACGAAACUAUAUGACUAGAGUCUUGUAGAGGGUAGUGGAAUUUCUGGUGUAGCGGAGAAAUGCGUAGAUAUCAGAAGGAACACCGGUGGCGAAGGCGGCUACCUGGACAAAGACUGACACUGAGGAGCGAAAGCGUGGGUAGCAAACAGGAUU